GUCGGGAUAGCUCAGCUGGUAGAGCAGAGGACUGAAAAUCCUCGUUU
This 47-nucleotide transfer RNA is filed under the name Leucaena leucocephala (white popinac). RNAcentral's name for it is "partial tRNA-Phe". It matches the Rfam family "tRNA", at positions 1 to 46 of the family's 71-position model. Rfam says of the family: Transfer RNA (tRNA) molecules are approximately 80 nucleotides in length. Lineage: Eukaryota; Viridiplantae; Streptophyta; Magnoliopsida; Fabales; Fabaceae. RNAcentral also lists the same sequence under 8 other names. The record is from RNAcentral.